This 395-nucleotide ribosomal RNA is filed under the name uncultured bacterium. RNAcentral's name for it is "bacterial SSU rRNA". It matches the Rfam family "Bacterial small subunit ribosomal RNA", at positions 28 to 415 of the family's 1533-position model. The record is from RNAcentral.
GAUGAACGCUAGCGGCAGGCUUAAUACAUGCAAGUCGAGGGGCAGCGGGGGUAGCAAUACCUGCCGGCGACCGGCAAACGGGUGCGGAACACGUACAGAACCUUCCUUUAAGUGGGGGGAUAGCCCGGAGAAAUCCGGAUUAAUACCCCGUAACAUUAUUGAGGUGGCAUCACCUUAUAAUUAUAGAUUUUAUCGCUUAGAGAUGGCUGUGCGGCUGAUUAGGUAGUUGGUGAGGGGUAACGGCCCACCAAGCCAGCGAUCAGUAACUGGUGUGAGAGCACGACCAGUCACACGGGCACUGAGACACGGGCCCGACUCCUACGGGAGGCAGCAGUAAGGAAUAUUGGUCAAUGGACGCAAGUCUGAACCAGCCAUGCCGCGUGAAGGAUGGAAGG